GGGCGGCGGUGGGCGGGGCUUUCCUCAGGGACGUUACAACUCGUUGAGGUUGUCGGCGGCGCCAUUUUGAAUUGGCUGAGGGUCGGAGGAGGUGGUUGCUGAGCUGGGCUCCACGUCCCCCGAGAAAACCAGCGAGAAAGGAACGAGGUCCGAAUAUGGCAGCGAAUAGGAACUUGAAGCAAGUGCGGAUCGAGAAUAGCUCCCCAGCGGCGCCGCUGGGUAUGGUGGGGGGUGGUGGCGGCAACCUGAAGGGAUUGCGGGGCCUAGAGACGGAGAGCGAGGCAGCGGCGGCCAUGGCGCUAGUGCCGAGCAAGGAAGGUGGAGAUGAAGAGCAGGAGGUUGGCUUCACCAUCGAUAUCAAAAGCUUUCUGAAACCUGGUGAGAAGAGCUACACGCAGCGCUGCCGGCUGUUCGUGGGGAAUCUGCCUACUGAUAUCACCGAGGAAGAUUUCAAGCGCCUCUUCGAGCGCUACGGGGAGCCUAGCGAGGUCUUCAUCAAUCGGGAUCGUGGCUUUGGCUUCAUUCGCCUGGAAUCUAGGACACUGGCUGAAAUAGCAAAGGCAGAACUUGAUGGUACUAUUUUGAAGAGCAGACCACUUCGAAUUCGAUUUGCUACACAUGGAGCUGCCCUAACAGUCAAGAAUCUUUCACCUGUGGUUUCUAAUGAGCUGCUGGAACAAGCAUUCUCUCAGUUUGGUCCAGUGGAAAGAGCUGUUGUUGUAGUAGAUGAUCGUGGCAGAGCUACAGGAAAAGGUUUCGUAGAGUUUGCAGCAAAACCUCCAGCACGGAAAGCUCUAGAAAGAUGCAGUGAUGGGGCAUUCUUGCUAACAACAACACCUCGACCUGUUGUUGUAGAACCAAUGGAGCAAUUUGAUGAUGAAGAUGGACUGCCAGAAAAGCUAAUGCAAAAAACACAACAGUAUCACAAGGAAAGAGAACAGCCUCCACGUUUUGCUCAGCCUGGAACAUUUGAGUUUGAGUAUGCUUCACGGUGGAAGGCUCUUGAUGAGAUGGAAAAGCAACAGCGUGAACAGGUUGACAGGAACAUUAGAGAAGCCAAAGAGAAACUAGAGGCAGAAAUGGAAGCAGCUAGACAUGAGCAUCAGCUAAUGCUGAUGAGGCAAGAUCUCAUGCGACGUCAAGAAGAAUUGAGGCGUUUGGAAGAACUUAGAAAUCAAGAACUUCAAAAACGCAAGCAGAUACAAUUGAGACAUGAAGAAGAACAUCGACGUCGUGAAGAAGAGAUGUUACGCCAAAGGGAACAGGAGGAAUUACGACGACAGCAGGAGGGAGGUUUUAAGCCAAAUUUCAUGGAUAAUAGAGAACAGGAAAUGAGAAUGGGUGAUAUGGGUCCUCGUGGAGCAAUAAACAUGGGAGAUGCGUUUAGCCCAGCACCUGCUGGUAACCAAGGCCCUCCUCCAAUGAUGGGUAUGAAUAUGAACAACAGAGGAACUUUACCUGGCCCUGCAAUGGGUCCUGGUCCUUCCAUGGGACCAGAAGGAGCUGCAAAUAUGGGAACACCAAUGAUGCCAGAUAAUGGAACAGUGGUUACUGUUGAAAUCUUAAAAUGCAGAUGAAGACUGGCUUGUGCAGAAUGCUUCUACUAUCUUAUGCAUACAAAAGGGAGUCCUAAACCAAUUUUUAGUACAAGGUUUUUAAAGACUUGAAGUAUAUGUACACAGCCUCUUGCAGAGAGCUCAAAAUCUGGCCAGUCAUAAUGUCUCAAAUCCAGAAACCAUAGUGCCACAUUAAUACGAUACCAUGUCUGAGCUACUGGAUUAUUGGUACGUUGCACUUGGAAUCCAGCUUGUACGAUCAACUCUCUAGUUUCUGAUACUGACCAGUCCUUGGGAUUAUCCAGUAGGCCUUGCUCUGGAAGGCUGUGUCCGUGUACUUGGUAAAACCUGGGGUAGAGUUCAGCUUGGGUACACACAGGUUUCUGCCAAACCUGCUGGUGGCUGUACCCCCUCGGAAUUGAAGAUGGCUUUCUGCCAUACUGUGAUUAUGUGCAAAACGCUGCUCCUCAAGCUGGAAUUACAAGGACCGUCAGGGGUCUGGCCUGCGAGACUGAAGGGAAUAGGGCUGUUUGAAAUGAUGGGCAGGGGGCCAGCAUGCAGGUGCUGUGUCUCCCACCAGCACCCUGGACUGGAAAAGACACAUCGGAAGAAUCUGAUGUCUGCUUGCAAGGUUUAAGAUGCCUUUUUGUGUACGAGGAGAUGAAUUACAGCUUUCGUGAUGUGACUGUCUUCAGCCUCCAGCAGAAGAGCAUUGUUAAGCAAAGUUGAGCGUUUCAUAGUCAAGCUGAUGUUGGCCAGCUUCGGUGUGUAACUGAGCUCUUGACUCCAUUUUUGCUUAGACUGUACCAGAAGCAGAUUUUCUUUCCAGAAAUACUAGUACCAGGAAGUGGUGUUGAUAAAAGGAUUGGAGUUUGUUGUACAUGCUACAAGAGUAAAUGAUUUAUUAAGAGACUGCUGCUUGGUUAAUGGACUGGACUAAAAGAAAAGCUUUUAGAGUUAAAUGAGUAAGAAAAAAGUAUUUUCAAGCACUGAAGUAUAUUACAAAAAGAUAGGGAAGUGGUAGGGUUUAUAACGAAACAAUAGUGUGGACUGUAUUUUAAGUUGCAGUAGAGCUUACAAGAGCACAGAAGUAUUAGUUCCAUAGAGAAAACGGUACUGUUAUCCCAAACCUGGGUUCUUCACCUGGAGUGCAAGAGCUGAUCUGCACAGUAGAGGUUCAUUGCACGCCUGUGCAGAGAUGGGCGCUAAGCGGUAAAGUCUGCAAAGCUAGCACACCUCUCAACACACUGUAGAAUGUUUUAUACACUUUGAACAAUUGUUUGCAGUUGUGUUUAGUCACACUUGGUUUUCUUUUAUGGGUUCUUACAAGUCUUGUCUCCAUCUACAGGUACAGCAUUCUUUUUUCCAGCCUGCAUGUUCUGUGGGGAGGGGGCUUUGUUAGUAGGGAGUGGAACUUCUAGUAUGCUAAUAAGGAUAGUUCAAACUAUUUUCUGUUUGGUCUUAGUGACCAUUUGGUCCUCCUCGAGCUUACCUUGUUAUGCCCCACCUUGACAUAUUAAUGGUAUGUAUUCCUUUUCCCCAAGGCCUCGUUUUGUUAACUGUAAGGAUCAGCUACAUCCGUUUUUCAAAUUUUGUUGCUUUUCACUAUAGAUAUUUAUAGACUUUUUUAUUUUUUAAAUAAUUCUUCUAUCGGUGUCAGCCUGCAACAGCUGAAAAGGAUUGGAAGGAAAUGUUAAUGAAUGGGGAGAUUAAAGCUGCAGUAAGAUUUCACUGUGCGCAGUAAAUUUUAGUUGGUAAUUAUGAUAAAAAUGCCUGCUGUCUUAAUGUAGCCCAAUAAAAAGGUGACAAACAAAAACCAUAAAUGAAAUCAAUAAUGAAAAAAUAAUUUUGAUGCAAUGAGUUUUUAACAUUGCACUGUAAUGUACCUGCAGGGUUUUUUCAGGGUUUCUUAAUCUACUAUAAAACUCUUCCAAAUUAAUCAGUGACUAACAGGAUAUUUAUUUUCUGUUUCCUGAAAUCAACAACACAGUAAACAAGAACUGAGGGCCUUACAGCAACCUUGCAGAGUUCAGUAAGGGCAAAUGCAAAGUCCUGUAGUGGGUACUGAAUUAACAUGAAUGACUGGUUGUGAAGAAGCUCAUCUGGGACAAGUGAAGACGAAGGUGUCCAGCGACAUUCUGGGCUCCUGAAGCCAAGAGGUAUAUGGGAACAAGGCCAGCAGAAGCCACCAAGGCGAUGGGGAGGUUAGAGACAGGCAGUGGGGGGUGUUCAGUCUGAAAAACAGGAGGUGGGGGGUUGGAAAUCCUACUUGAGCUGUGUGAUGGAAGGGGGUAGAGAAGAUGAAGCCAGGCUCAUCUCAGAGGUGCACAGCCGUGAGGAAGUCUCGUAUAAUUUACAGUGCAAGUGUUGCAUCUUAACGGGUCUUCCCUUGUUUCAGGAAGGGAGGACGCAGGGGCCCCAGUCUGAGGGCUGGCUGGAGGGUGAUGUUCACUUGCGGUUUUAGGGAUCUUGAUCCUGCUGUCUACAGAAAUAAGAACUGUUCCAGUAUAUAGACAGUAUUGCUGACAGAGACAGGAAAGCGAGGGAAGUUUCAAAUGCUUGGCAUCUCCCUACAUGUAGACUUUUCCAGAAGUGGGAGGUCUCAGUCAGCUUUGUAAAGCCUUUUUAAAACAGUAAUAAAUAUGCAUGUAAGCACAGCCUUCACAGGCUGGGGCUCUGGUCAUUACUGUUUGGGGCAGGGAUAGCAGCUUUUCCCUCGUGAUACGGAUGACUGUUCAGUGCAAGACACGCAGCUGCUUCAGCAGGCCUAACGGGGCUGCUCUUCCCCAAAUUCAUACUCUCUACAGAAGCCUGUAUAAGUAACAGCUCCAGGGACCAAGAUUUUUUGUCAGAAAGUGCGGGGCUGUGAUGCAGAUCAAGAUGUCACCACCUGGGUAAUACUGUCCUCCAGCUCUGGUUGAAGACAUUUGAGCUGCUGGCACAACAGGGGCAACAGCCGCACUCGUGGUUUUGGUUGUCUUAAAAGCAGAGCUGCCCCUGCCGUCGUCCUGAGAGCAGCACGGACGUGAGAGGAGCCCGGCAAGGGUAAGGCCUGACCCACCUCCUGUAAUGAGUCAGUGCCAACAGCAACUAACCACAGAGGAGUCCCUUACAGUUCGAGUCAUGUAGGAUGUACUGCAGAAAUUCUUGGGGGGGGGGGAAUCAGUGGUAGCUAUCCUGCAUGACAGCCUUGAAAUCAAAAAAACAUCUUCUGCCUGCUCCUGUCCUCCUGGCUGCUAUAUGUGAGGUGUUGGAGAUUUUAUCUAAGAGCCCCCCUUCUUAACUGUAAUUUUGACUGCUGCAUUCUGUGCUGUCUUUUGUCCGCUUUUAGUAUUUUUUUCCUCUCUCUUUCACUUCAAGAUGGGUUCAGAAGCUGAAAAAUAUUUUCCCCAUUCAUGUGGGACACACAAAAGCCGAGGAAUGUUGGAAGUGUCAGGAUUCAGUGAUGGGCUUGCAGCCCAAAAACACGGCCUAUACAGUUCUUUUGCAUUCUUAAAAGGUAAAACUCCCACUAUACCUCCCGCAUUACAGAGGGAGACUCCAGCAAAACCGAAGGCACAGCUGUAGGAACGCGUCGUGCAAGGACUGGAUUGCCACUACUCCGGAAGACUGACCUAAAGGAAGAAGAUUUUACAGUGGCUCUUUUCCAGCACUAUAUGGGAAGGCAAAGGGUGGUAACAGGCAGAACAUUUCAGGACAGCCCUCGGACACUCUGAGCUGUCCUAGCUGGCAGCUGCACUUCAGUGCUGUCCCUUCCCUGUGCAGAAGGAGCUUUCUUCCAUCCAGACUGAUUAACGCCUCUGUUUAGAAAAACCAGUGCAGAAAGGACAGGGGCCCUACCCUAGCCAGCUCAUCACCCCCUACCCUUCAGUACCUGUGAAAGAAGCCAGGAACGCAAAUACUGACGAUGGAGCAGUGAAAGAAUGCACCCAAGCCUUCGGAACAAUUUAUUGCCAUUGCAGUUUAUCGUAACUGCAGCUGCUUAGCCUUGCUGACAGCAGCAAGAAGAAACCGAGCAAGUACUUCAAAGGUAUUUCCCCACUGUGUCUAAAGAAUUGCUUUUUAUUGUAGCUACUUUCUCUUCAUCCUUUGUCCACCAAAACCUUUUUCUUAGCAACUGGAUAAAAAACAUAU
Falco peregrinus (peregrine falcon) is the source of this 5690-nucleotide RNA transcript. It is a transcript of the gene named paraspeckle component 1, with no coding region annotated. The transcript is spliced from 12 exons. The record is from RefSeq and is a predicted model, not a curated record. NCBI's taxonomy places the organism in Eukaryota, Metazoa, Chordata, Aves, Falconiformes, Falconidae.